UACGUAGGCAGCGAGCGUUGUUCGGAGUUACUGGGCGUAAAGAGUGCGUAGGCGGUUUUCUAAGUUUGGUGUGAAAUCUCCCGGCUUAACUGGGAGGGUGCGCCGAAGACUGGAAGGCUUGAGUAUGGGAGAGGUAAGCGGAAUUCCUGGUGUAGCGGUGAAAUGCGUAGAUAUCGUAAGGAAGACCAGUGGCGAAGGCGGGUCUCUGGACAGUUCCUGACGCUGAGGCACGAAGGCCAGGGGAGCAAACGGG
Molecule: ribosomal RNA, 253 nt
Filed under: uncultured bacterium
Lineage: Bacteria
Description: partial 16S ribosomal RNA
Rfam family: Bacterial small subunit ribosomal RNA
Source: RNAcentral